UGCCGCCCGCCCAAGGAUUUGACGAACGGACGGGACUCGCUCCUCGAGUAGCGGCGGACGGGUGAGUAACACGUGGGUAACCUACCUAUAAGACUGGAAUAACUUCGGGAAACCGGAGCUAAUGCCGGAUAACAUAUAGAACCGCAUGGUUCUAUAGUGAAAGAUGGUUUUCGCUAUCACUUAUAGAUGGACCCGCGCCGUAUUAGCUAGUUGGUAAGGUAAUGGCUUACCAAGGCGACGAUACGUAGCCGACCUGAGAGGGUGAUCGGCCACACUGGAACUGAGACACGGUCCAGACUCCUACGGGAGGCAGCAGUAGGGAAUCUUCCGCAAUGGGCGAAAGCCUGACGGAGCAACGCCGCGUGAGUGAUGAAGGUUUUCGGAUCGUAAAACUCUGUUAUUAGGGAAGAACAAAUGCGUAAGUAACUGUGCGCAUCUUGACGGUACCUAAUCAGAAAGCCACGGCUAACUACGUGCCAGCAGCCGCGGUAAUACGUAGGUGGCAAGCGUUAUCCGGAAUUAUUGGGGCGUAAAGCGCGCGUAGGCGGUUUCUUAAGUCUGAUGUGAAAGCCCACGGCUCAACCGUGGAGGGUCAUUGGAAACUGGGAAACUUGAGUGCAGAAGAGGAAAGUGGAAUUCCAUGUGUAGCGGUGAAAUGCGCAGAGAUAUGGAGGAACACCAGUGGGCGAAGCGACUUUCUGGUCUGUAACUGACGCUGAUGUGCGAAAGCGUGGGGAUCAAACAGGAUUAGAUACCUUGGUAGUCCACGCCGUAACGAUGAGUGCUAAGUGGUAGGGGGUUUCCGCCCCUUAUUGCUGCAGCUACACGCAUUAAGCACUCUCCCUGGGGGAGUAC
RNAcentral lists this ribosomal RNA (855 nucleotides) under Staphylococcus succinus. Its description in RNAcentral is "bacterial SSU rRNA". It matches the Rfam family "Bacterial small subunit ribosomal RNA", at positions 56 to 883 of the family's 1533-position model. Lineage: Bacteria; Bacillati; Bacillota; Bacilli; Caryophanales; Staphylococcaceae. The record is from RNAcentral.